GCCUUGUUAGCUCGAUAGGUUGAGCGUCUGCCUUGUAAGCGCUAGGCCGUGGGUUCGAUUCCCGCCCGGGGUG
This 73-nucleotide transfer RNA is filed under the name Diaphorina citri (Asian citrus psyllid). It matches the Rfam family "tRNA". From Rfam's summary of the family: Transfer RNA (tRNA) molecules are approximately 80 nucleotides in length. Their secondary structure includes four short double-helical elements and three loops (D, anti-codon, and T loops). Lineage: Eukaryota; Metazoa; Arthropoda; Insecta; Hemiptera; Psyllidae. The record is from Rfam by way of RNAcentral.